RNAcentral lists this ribosomal RNA (759 nucleotides) under uncultured bacterium. RNAcentral's name for it is "bacterial SSU rRNA". It matches the Rfam family "Bacterial small subunit ribosomal RNA", at positions 8 to 796 of the family's 1533-position model. The record is from RNAcentral.
AGAGUUUGAUCCUGGCUCAGGACGAACGCUGGCGGCAUGCUUAACACAUGCAAGUCGAGGGGCACUUCGGUGCCACUGGCGCACGGGUGAGUAACACGUAGGUCAUCUGCCCCUAUCACAGACAUAACCCCGGGAAACCGGGGCUAAUAUCUGAUGAGGUCGCGAGAUCAAAGCUUCGGCGGAUAGGGAUGAGCCUGCGGCUGAUUAGCUAGUUGGUGAGGUAAUGGCUCACCAAGGCGACGAUCAGUAGCUGGUCUGAGAGGACGAACAGCCACACUGGAACUGAGACACGGUCCAGACUCCUACGGGAGGCAGCAGUGAGGAAUAUUGGUCAAUGGGCGCAAGCCUGAACCAGCAAUGCCGCGUGUGGGAUGACGGCGCUUUGCGUUGUAAACCACUGUCGGACGGGACGAAAAGAGGCAACAGCCUCCGAGACGGUACCGUCAAAGGAAGGGUCGGCUAACUACGUGCCAGCAGCCGCGGUAAUACGUAGGACCCAAGCGUCGUCCGGAUUCACUGGGUAUAAAGGGUGCGUAGGCGGUCUUGUGCGUCAGAGGUGAAAUAUCCGGGCUCAACCCGGAGGGUGCCUUUGAUACGGCAGGACUUGAGUGCGAGAGAGGAUGAUGGAAUUCCUGGUGUAGCGGUGAAAUGCGUAGAUAUCAGGAGGAACACCGGUGGCGAAGGCGGUCAUCUGGCUCGCAACUGACGCUGAGGCACGAAAGCGUGGGGAUCAAACAGGAUUAGAUACCCUGGUAGUCC